This is a long non-coding RNA of Lucilia sericata (common green bottle fly), 1097 nucleotides long. RefSeq lists it as uncharacterized. NCBI's taxonomy places the organism in Eukaryota, Metazoa, Arthropoda, Insecta, Diptera, Calliphoridae. The transcript has 3 exons. The record is from RefSeq and is a predicted model, not a curated record.
UAUAUGUGUUAAAGUCGAUAGAAUUCAUAAGUGCGAGGGUGAUGCAAAAUCACAUGUGCACAAAAGUUUCCAUCACUUUUUAAGAAACAGAUAAUCAAGAUAUAUUAAUUAUAAGGUAGUGUCGUCGGCGAAUUCAGAAAUACGGAGUGAAUUCAUUUUAUUUUUUAUAUACGGAGUUUGACAGCAUGCCUACACUUCAAAGUGCCAGAACACUGUCAAACUACAUAUAAAAAAAUCAAAAGUGUAUUAGCAAAAAACAAUCAGCUGCUCUGUUAACACUACCUUAUAAUUAAUAUACCUUGCAGAUAAUUAGUAACUUUUGAUGAACAUUUUCAUCACUGUGGCAGUCAAAUGACCGGUUAAAUGACUGCCACUGUUCUUAUAGGGAAUGCAUACGUAAAAGCCAGUCAUUUACACUAAUGUGUAACCAUAUGGUUGACAGUACCCUAUGUAAACGAGUGAGGGGACAUAUUGUACUUCAGAAUGUCGAUAUUUUACACAUCUAUUGGAGACACAAUUCUUAUUUAUCACUAAAGUUUAACCAGCUGGUUGUACCCUAUUUGAAUGUUUUUGGUCAUUUGUCACGAAAAUAUUCUUCGUAAUCGAAUGCGAAGACAGUCGCCACUUUAUUGUACACAGGGAGUGGACAGUCGUCAUUACUAUCUCCCGAGUAAACGAAAGAGGGCACACUUGGAACUUUUUUCACGAUCGCGAAAAAAUAAUAUCAUAUUCCUUCAUCUGUUCACGCCCUACAAGCUCUUGCUAUGCAAUUAACUAAUAAUUUACUUACCUCCAAUAAGAUAAUUGAAAAGAAACCCAAAAAAUAAGACGAAAACGAAACAAGUUGAAAUGGUAUCGUGCGAAAGAGACAAAUAUAUUUUUUAGCCGUGACGCCUCUGUAUACUUUGUGCCUGGGCAGUCGGGUGACUAGGGCUACCAUAAGUGGUUGGUUCGGGACUGUCCCGCCGAACUGCUGGCUUUCAAAAACAUAUGGUCGGCUCAUGAAAAAUUUCGGCUUAGCCGUUGAUGGAACAAUUUUUAAAUUAAUUUAUAUUUUUUAUAUUUUAAUAAAAAUUAUGUUUAUUGAUCAAGCAAAU